RNAcentral lists this long non-coding RNA (712 nucleotides) under Rattus norvegicus (Norway rat). Its description in RNAcentral is "long non-coding RNA NONRATT006043". The record is from RNAcentral. Lineage: Eukaryota; Metazoa; Chordata; Mammalia; Rodentia; Muridae.
CAGCCUCUGUCAGCAGAACACAGGUCUCCUGACUCCCAGCCCUGUAUUUCCCUGCCCCCAUACUUGCAUUUUCAAAGGGCAAUGGAUAAAAGUCUAGAGCUCAUAGCUCUCGGGCAUUCUCUAGUGGUCCUCAGAGACUUGUAUGUAGAAGGGACAAUCCCAGAGUGGCUUUGGCUCUUCCUGCCCGGUCACCGGACUUCAGACACUCCUUCCUCAAUCCAGUGAGAGAUGUCCUGGGCCCAUGUGAAACCAUUGGUGCCAGGGGUCAAGGCCUCUGAGUGUAUUCCUGCUUCUCUCCCUAGGGUUCCCUGGACGUUACACUGACUCAGCCAACAAGGAACGGGCCCAUCACAGACAGACUGCAGAGCUGGGAAGAGACCUGGAGCCUCAUCCCAGACAAGGGACUUCCGGAGGACGACCCUGACGUCAUUGUGAAAGGUUGGCUGUACCGGGAGCCCCGUGGAGGAGGGGCACGGCCAUGGUUGCUCCCACGCAGAGCUUGGUUUGUGCUCACCAGAGAUUCCCUAGACCAGUUCAGCAGCAGCGGGAAAGGGGCAAGGCGUCUCGGAAGUCUGGUCCUCACAAGCCUGUGCUCAGUGACUGGGCCGGAACGUAGGCCCAAAGAGACCGGUCUGUGGUCAGUCACUGUGUCUGGCCGGAAACAUAGCAUCCGCCUCUGCUCCCCACGCCAGGCAGAGGCAGAGCGCUGGGG